GCUGCCACUGGACUGCAGGUUUACAUUUCAAAUUCAAGAAGUUCUUCAGUCAAGAGGAAUUUUAGAGCAACCAUAAACCUGGAUCUGUAUAAAGAAAUGACGAGUGCUGCAAGUUAAAUAAAUCAAGGUGAGACUGUGACAGGAAAUUGGUCUGGGAUUUGUCCUCUACUGCCUGG
Molecule: long non-coding RNA, 176 nt
Filed under: Callithrix jacchus (white-tufted-ear marmoset)
Lineage: Eukaryota; Metazoa; Chordata; Mammalia; Primates; Cebidae
Description: lncRNA (ENSCJAG00000083092.1)
Source: RNAcentral